ACGGGUGAGUAAUGCCUAGGAAUCUGCCUGGUAGUGGGGGAUAACGUUCGGAAACGGACGCUAAUACCGCAUACGUCCUACGGGAGAAAGCAGGGGACCUUCGGGCCUUGCGCUAUCAGAUGAGCCUAGGUCGGAUUAGCUAGUUGGUGAGGUAAUGGCUCACCAAGGCGACGAUCCGUAACUGGUCUGAGAGGAUGAUCAGUCACACUGGAACUGAGACACGGUCCAGACUCCUACGGGAGGCAGCAGUGGGGAAUAUUGGACAAUGGGCGAAAGCCUGAUCCCUCCAUGCCGCGUGUGUGAAGAAGGUCUUCGGAUUGUAAAGCACUUUAAGUUGGGAGGAAGGGUUGUAGAUUAAUACUCUGCAAUUUUGACGUUACCGACAGAAUAAGCACCGGCUAACUCUGUGCCAGCAGCCGCGGUAAUACAGAGGGUGCAAGCGUUAAUCGGAAUUACUGGGCGUAAAGCGCGCGUAGGUGGUUUGUUAAGUUGGAUGUGAAAUCCCCGGGCUCAACCUGGGAACUGCAUUCAAAACUGACUGACUAGAGUAUGGUAGAGGGUGGUGGAAUUUCCUGUGUAGCGG
Molecule: ribosomal RNA, 583 nt
Filed under: Pseudomonas sp. StFLB088
Lineage: Bacteria; Pseudomonadati; Pseudomonadota; Gammaproteobacteria; Pseudomonadales; Pseudomonadaceae
Description: bacterial SSU rRNA
Rfam family: Bacterial small subunit ribosomal RNA
Source: RNAcentral